UGAAUAUAUCUUCUCUUCACAAUUUCAAUAGAACAAGCAAAAGGUCCGCAAACCUUUUACAAAACUGUUCUUACAACAAUGAUGAUGACCUUAUGGUGGAGCCGGACGGGAUCGAACCGACGACCCCCUGCUUGCAAAGCAGGUGCUCUCCCAGCUGAGCUACGGCCCC
This 169-nucleotide transfer RNA is filed under the name Bartonella henselae. RNAcentral describes it as "partial 16S-23S ribosomal RNA intergenic spacer". The record is from RNAcentral. Lineage: Bacteria; Pseudomonadati; Pseudomonadota; Alphaproteobacteria; Hyphomicrobiales; Bartonellaceae.